UACGAAGGUCCCAAGCGUUGUUCGGAUUUACUGGGCGUAAAGGGCGCGUAGGCGGCGUGACAAGUCACUUGUGAAAUCUCCGGGCUUAACUCGGAACGGUCAAGUGAUACUGUUGUGCUAGAGUAUAGAAGGGGCAAUCGGAAUUCUUGGUGUAGCGGUGAAAUGCGUAGAUAUCAAGAGGAACACCAGAGGCGAAGGCGGAUUGCUAGGCUAAUACUGACGCUGAGGCGCGAAAGCUAAGGUAGCAAACGGG
Molecule: ribosomal RNA, 253 nt
Filed under: uncultured bacterium
Lineage: Bacteria
Description: partial 16S ribosomal RNA
Rfam family: Bacterial small subunit ribosomal RNA
Source: RNAcentral